UGGGGAAUUUUGGAUAAUGGGGGAAACCCUGAUCCAGCCAUCCCGCGUGUGCGAUGAAGGCCUUCGGGUUGUAAAGCACUUUUGGCAGGAAAGAAACGUCAUGGGUUAAUACCCCGUGAAACUGACGGUACCUGCAGAAUAAGCACCGGCUAACUACGUGCCAGCAGCCGCGGUAAUACGUAGGGUGCAAGCGUUAAUCGGAAUUACUGGGCGUAAAGCGUGCGCAGGCGGUUCGGAAAGAAAGAUGUGAAAUCCCAGAGCUCAACUUUGGAACUGCAUUUUUAACUACCGGGCUAGAGUGUGUCAGAGGGAGGUGGAAUUCCGCGUGUAGCAGUGACAUGCGUAGAUAUGCGGAGGAACACCGAUGGCGAAGGCAGCCUCCUGGGAUAACACUGACGCUCAUGCACGAAAGCGUGGGGAGCAAACAGG
Molecule: ribosomal RNA, 429 nt
Filed under: Acidobacteriota bacterium
Lineage: Bacteria; Pseudomonadati; Acidobacteriota
Description: Acidobacteria bacterium partial 16S ribosomal RNA
Rfam family: Bacterial small subunit ribosomal RNA
Source: RNAcentral